Molecule: small nucleolar RNA, 71 nt
Organism: Arvicanthis niloticus (Nile rat)
Lineage: Eukaryota; Metazoa; Chordata; Mammalia; Rodentia; Muridae
Product: small nucleolar RNA SNORD107
Source: RefSeq, a predicted model, not a curated record
GAUUUAUGAUGACAUAGGACCUUGUCUGAAUAUAAUGAUUUUAAAAAUUGAGCUUUAGUGACUCUGAAAUC